CAGUCGCCGCGGUAAUACGGAGGGUGCAAGCGUUAAUCGGAAUUACUGGGCGUAAAGCGCACGCAGGCGGUCUGUUAAGUCAGAUGUGAAAUCCCCGGGCUCAACCCGGGAACUGCAUUUGAAACUGGCAGGCUUGAGUCUUGUAGAGGGGGGUAGAAUUCCAGGUGUAGCGGUGAAAUGCGUAGAGAUCUGGAGGAAUACCGGUGGCGAAGGUGGCCCCCUGGACAAAGACUGACGCUCAGGUGCGAAAGCGUGGGGAGCAAACAGGAUUAGAUACCCCAGUAGUCCCUGUCUCUUAUAC
Molecule: ribosomal RNA, 301 nt
Filed under: uncultured bacterium
Lineage: Bacteria
Description: partial 16S ribosomal RNA
Rfam family: Bacterial small subunit ribosomal RNA
Source: RNAcentral